CACUUUCAAAUGUAUUCAAAACAAUGAUCGAAUACUCAAAUGACAUGAAGAUUCAACCUGGACAACAUUUUACAUGAUCAUGAAAUUAAAGUUAUACUUCUUUUAAGUCAGUAUAGUAUCAGUCUACUUCUUAUGUAUUUCUCAGAAAUAAACUUCAAAAAGAGACACUCACUUGUGCUGACAGAAAAGUCUAGGAAAUAUGUUUGUACUCAUGUCUUCUGAUGGAGAUUUGCUGGACAAGUUUGAAAUUGAACAAACGGGAGUGAGAAAACGGCGCCAUCUUCGUUUCAUCCAGAAAACGGAAUAACAAGAAUUCGGCUUGAUUUUUCGUUUUAACUUCAGGGGUAAAUAACGAAUACACAGCUUGAAAAAUCGAUUUCCACGGGUGAGCGGUAUGAAACGCCCCCUUACAUUGACUGGCCAACCAAAGAUCAGCAAGCGAGGGAGCGACGUCUUGGGUUGUCCCUCAGUGAAUGAACAGAAUAAAUAGUCCUCCGCUGCUGUACAGUGGGGAUCCUUAAAGUAUGUUUCAUUUCUCUCAUUAAACAACCGUCCACAAACCGUACAGGGCAGGUUCUAGACUGGACUUUCCUCAUGCAACCUGGGAAUAAACAGAAAACGAUUGAAAAACAUCACUGACAGUUAUAAUCUUAAAUCCAUCCACAUUCAAACUGGCCCAGGUCACGCCCCUACUUAAGAAACCCACAUUGGGACCCAUCUACUACCGACGGUUACAGACCUGUCUCUCUCCUCCCUUUUAUUGCAAAAACACUUGAAAGGGCAGUUUUCAACCAGGUGUCUUCCUACCUUUCCCAGAAUAAACUACUGGAUGACAAGCAGUCUGGCUUCAAAACAAACCGCUCCACUCAGACUCCACUGCUAUCGGUCACCGAAGCAUUGCGGCUAGCCAAGGCGGAAUCUAAAUCCUCUGUCCUGAUUCUGUUAGACCUAUCUGCAGCGUUUGACACUGUCAAUCACCAGAUACAGCAACCCUGUCAUCUCUAGGAAUCUCAGGCGUUCCUCUCCGCUGGUUCAAAUCCUACCUCUCCGGCAGAUCCUUCAGGGUGUCAUGGAGGGGCUCGCUGUCCACUGCUCACCACAUGAUCACUGUGAUCCCUCAGGGAUCGGUGCUUGGACCGCUGCUUUUUUACAUCUACACAACAUCCUUGGGACCCAUCGUACAGGCACACGGCUUCUCGUAUCACUGUUAUGCUGACGACACCUACGAGAUCUACAGCUCGUUUCACCCAGACGAUAUCACUGUAGGUAAAAACUAACCCUCUCUCUUUCUCUCAACAGAUAUUGGUCUGGCUUUUGUUGAAACUAGUAACUUUGUAUUAGUACCUGUUGUAUUAUUGCUCCUGUAUGACAUAUCGCUUAUUGCUCCCUGAACUCUCUGUAAGUCGCUUUGGAUAAAAGCGUCUGCUAAAUGACUAAAUGUAAAUGUAUAAUGAUUGAAGCUGACUGCAUGUACGUACCGUUAUCAUGAACGAGUCUGACUGAACGUAUCUGCACUCUGUUGUUUUUCGCACGGUGACCGGUGACUCAUCUAACUUCUGAUUGAUUGGUCAACAGGAGCUGUGAGUAAAACACAGAAAAAAAUGACCGUGAUCUGACGUGAACAUAAUGUUGCAACUUACAAGUUUCGUUCAUCUUCCCAUUUAAUUUGCCUCAUCCAUGAACUAUAAUGAACUGAAGCGGGACACACUGUCCCUUAACUUCUCAGUGUCAGAUAGGUGUGGUGUGUGAACUGGUUGAAAUGCGUGUGUCUCACAGUGGAUGCAUGCGUGAGAGCCCUGCUCGCGAGCCGUAUGUUCCUGAUCACUAAUUUAUACAUUUGUCUGACUUUUGAAAAUAACCAUGUUAUUAGGCUACGUAUCAAACCUUGAAGAGGUUUUUAAAGACCAUACCACCACGAUUUAGCGGACCUAUACACAGUUAAAAUAAUCUGAAACAUGUGUUAUGCUUUUACUAAAAACUAGCUGGUCAAUUUAAUAAAAACGCUCUGAUAGCCCAGGCAGUUUCUCUGCUGUAACGUUAAAUACAAUAAUACGGCGCACGCCCUCUACUUUGCUGCAGUCAAAAACGCUUGCAAAAGUUAUUCAACUGUAGCCCAGUUCUGACAUAUAGACAAUCAUAGGAACAAUUUCGAUUGCUUUUUUAAUAUAUAUAAUCAGCCAGUGCAAAGCGUGAACCACGUUUAUAGGACCGGAGUUGGCAAGUACCGCUCACUACAAACUUUUGAACAAUUAAAAGUGUGCGCCCAACGUGGGGCUCGAACCCACGACCCUGAGAUUAAGAGUCUCAUGCUCUACCGACUGAGCUAGCCGGGCUUGCAACGCAUACUUUUUGCAUCACGCACAUUAACUCUCUGGAUGGGUUAAAUGCAGAGGUCACAUUUCGGGUAUGGGUUACCAUAUCUGACACUUUCACUUAAUCACUAACGUUACUUCACGACAAGGCAGCAGUAAACUGAAUACACGACGUGCGCUGCGGGCUACAGCGGCAUCUAUUGGAUUUUAUCUGUACUGCAUUUUGUAUAAGUCAUUUGGACAGUCACUUGUAAUUUUGUCACUUUAAUAUUCCUAUACACCUAACUUGUGUUUCAACAUUAUGUGUUGUAAAUUCUUUAUAGUGUAUAGUUCUACAAUACUAUGAGCAUGGUCAUAAGAAUUCCAAUGUCCAGUGUUAAUUGUGCAAAUAACAAAUAAAGGACUCUUGACAUUUUAAUGAACAGAAAUCCUAGUUUGUUGUCUCCCAAAAACCAUCUGCUUUUUUUGUCACAUCAAUAGGACAUGUUUAUUUCCCUUUCUUAAAAUAUUUUUUUUUUCUGAUAAUGAAUCAGUUUAUUGGUAACACAUUCUCAGAGUGUUUUUGUGUCACAUCCAUAACGCAAAACGUCACUUCCACAAUGCUGGAAUUGCCCAAUACAUUCAACUUAAUCGCAGGCCAAAUUAAAGUGCCUGGCUGGCCAUAUGGCCCUCGUGUCGAAAUCAUCUUAUGAAACAGUAACAUAUUGAUGAUGAUACUACAUUACUUGAAAACAGAAUCUUACGCACGUACACUUUUUUUGGUUGAUUAUAGCGCAGGGCCCAACGUGGGGUUCGAACCCACGACCCUGAGAUUAGAAGUCUCAUGCUCCUCCGACUGAUGGCCGGCUGCACGCGACAUUUUUGCAAUUCCUCAGUGCUGCACACAGGCAUAGUUUGUUUAGUUGCGCCUUAUAAAAAAGUGUCAAAUCCAUAACGCUGGAGUUGUUGGUUAACAUUGACCAAGUUUAAUAAAUGCUGUAGAAGUAUUGCUAGUUCACUCAUGGUAACUAAUAUUAACUAUUUCUAUUUCAUGAAAUGUAAUACGCAUACAUUAAACUAACACCUGCAAGCAAUGCACUUAUCUCAGGAUCAUUUGAGAUGUUUCUAGUGUGCUCGGGAUUCUGUGAUCUUCUCCACCCAGUAGUCCAAACUCUCGGUGGUUUUUCCAGAGGGAAUCCCCGGGAACUUUUUAGGAAAUAUUCGCAUUGAAAAGAAAAUGAAAGUAACAGCGUGUACAGUAUACAGUAUAUAUAGGAGGUGAACACGAGGUUUGAUUUCAUUCUUGAAAGCAUUAUGGGUGUCUUCCAGAGCAUUUUCUUAGCUGAGACAGAGCAGGAGAUCUCUCCGCCUGAAAGCAUCAAUUUAAUCCCUGCCAACAGUCUGACAAGUCAGAGAGAGCCACCAGAGAGUUCAAACCAAGGCA
Long non-coding RNA from Triplophysa rosa, 3735 nucleotides. RefSeq lists it as uncharacterized. The record is from RefSeq and is a predicted model, not a curated record. Lineage: Eukaryota; Metazoa; Chordata; Actinopteri; Cypriniformes; Nemacheilidae. The transcript has 3 exons.